This 253-nucleotide ribosomal RNA is filed under the name uncultured bacterium. RNAcentral describes it as "partial 16S ribosomal RNA". It matches the Rfam family "Bacterial small subunit ribosomal RNA", at positions 524 to 776 of the family's 1533-position model. The record is from RNAcentral.
UACGGGGGGGGCAAGCGUUGUUCGGAAUUACUGGGCGUAAAGGGCCAGUAGGCGGCCAACUAAGUCGGAUGUGAAAUCCCCAGGCUUAACCUGGGAACUGCAUCCGAUACUGGAUGGCUUGAAUUCGGGAGAGGGAUGCAGAAUUCCAGGUGUAGCGGUGAAAUGCGUAGAUAUCUGGAGGAACACCGGUGGCGAAGGCGGCAUCCUGGACCGACACUGACGCUGAGGAGCGAAAGCCAGGGGAGCAAACGGG